GCGUUCAUGGUGUAACUGGAAGCACUCUCGACUCGUAUUCGGGAGGUCCUGAGUUCGAAUCCUGGCGAGGGCA
RNAcentral lists this transfer RNA (73 nucleotides) under Stegodyphus mimosarum. It matches the Rfam family "tRNA". From Rfam's summary of the family: Transfer RNA (tRNA) molecules are approximately 80 nucleotides in length. Lineage: Eukaryota; Metazoa; Arthropoda; Arachnida; Araneae; Eresidae. The record is from Rfam by way of RNAcentral.